UGCUUUCACCACUGUAAAUUGCUCUGGAUAAGAGCGUCUGCUAAAUGACUAAAA
Salmo salar (Atlantic salmon) is the source of this 54-nucleotide non-coding RNA. The record is from Rfam. Lineage: Eukaryota; Metazoa; Chordata; Actinopteri; Salmoniformes; Salmonidae.